UUGACCUUUCACCGGUACACAGCGCUGCUCGUGGCGUCCCGAAGUACUUGCUCAUUGUUUGAGUCAAAGAGGGUGGGCUAGGGCAUUAGCUCACGCUAAUGUUAGUAAUGACACCGGCGGUGAGAGACGCUACUGUCGAUUCUGGUGGCUGUGGGAGUUGGCUCAUUAUCGGGGGAAUUUUCGAACGCCUCUUUGCGCCGAAAUCCCAUUGGGGUUAGCGGCACUCUUCUCUCGAGGAAAUAUCGUACCAUCAUCAUUCGCCAUUCUAUUGCGAACUUAUAGCAUAUCGGAUUUUUUUAUCACCCCAAAGCCCCCCGGAAAGGGGGCGUAGUUACUGCCCCCUCGUCCUCCACGUUUUGGCACCGGGUAAUAGAUUGACGACGUUUUUCGCCAGCAUCGAGUGGGCCAAAAUGAAAGAAUGAGACCAAAAUGAAAAAUGGACCCUUGACACGACAGGGAUUCAGCUUCGUUCUACGCACUUCUAUUUAGUGGACUGCAGUCACAUACAGCGAUGGUACUUGAACUGAAGGCUGAAGGCUAUCGGGCUAAUAUUGUAUACAGUGUUUAUGUGACUAAAGAAACAUGAUUCCUGGUGCGAUAGGUGGAGUGGGGAAAUGAUACUUCAUCGCCGAAUUUCAGAGAAUUAGAGACAAUGUAUGAUACCGUGUGUGAUAGCGUGUGAUGAUGGAAUUAUUGAUCAGGUAAGCUUCUGACGAAUUUCGUACAUUUUUUUGACUGUUUGCAAAGCACUAAGUAAGCUUCAAUACUCGGAGGAGGGAUAUGUCAAGAUCGAAAUGUCGAUGCAUCCGUCAUUAUUGCAUUCUGCGCAGAUUUUUUAUUUUCCUUUCCUUAUUUUUAGUUGAUUAGAAAUUACAUAAAUGCAUGAAGUGAGGCAAUCCCGAUAAGUGGAUCUUACAUGACUUAGGGAAAAAUGUGAUUGAAUCCCUGACCGAUCAACUAAUUAUCGAUGGGGGGAUUCGAUAAAAGUCGGGAGCAAAGUCGGAUGGGAUUUGAAGAGAAGAUCCAGAGGGGCGAGUUUGUUUUAGAUGGUUUAGAUCCAUAUGUCAUGGGAUUUUGAAGUCGUCAAGUCCAUAUGAUGUUAUGGUGCAGGUUUCUACUAUUGGGAGUGAUCGGAUUAGUCAUCGAUCAAUUGCGUCUCGUCGAUAGGCGUUAAUAAAGGGGAAGAGAGCAUCGAGACACCGGCACGAAGCUGUUUGGCGAAUUUUUACGAAAUUUCGAUUAAAAAUAUCACAUGGGUAAAGGACAUUGUCCAUUCCGAGUGUUAUCGUUCAAGGAAAUAAAGUAUUCCAUUUUAAUUAAUUGACACCUUGGGUAAUGAAAUGAAAUAUUCCACUUAAAAAAAUUGAAUAAUAGAAUUUUUCUCUUAUUUCGAUGUUACAACAGAUUUCAUACUGCCUAUACAAAAUUAUUCAACUCUCUGAGGCACUCAUUCGUUGUUUCCGUAGAUUUGUUACACAUUUUGUUUGAUUGUUUCGGUCUUUUUUUACGGCGAAUACUCAAAAAAAUGAUGGUUGACAAUGUUCGUUGAUAAAAUUGGGAGGAGAUGGGGGGUUAAUAUUUGUUAAUCAGCAACAUGCACAUGAGAAUUUUUCUAAAAACAAUUUCUUUUCAUGACAAUCGAUCUAUCGUACGUGAAAAAUAAAAUGUUAUAAAACGAUGAAAAUGGUCAGUCAGGUGAGUGGAGUUGGGAAAUUGAGGAGUGAAGGGAGGGGAAGAGGAGGGAGAUGAAGGCACGAUGAAUUAUUUGAAUUUACAAAUUACAAUAAAUAACAAAGAUCGUAGCAAAAUCAUGUCUGAAUUACAGGCGACUCUAGUAUUCUAAUAUUUACACAAAUUACUUUUUUAUCUCUCAAUAUCAAAAUAUAAUACGAUCUUUUAAUAUUUUGUCCAGUACUUUUUCCUUCUAUAAAACAAAUUCUGCUCGUCAUGUUCAAUUAUAAAAAUACCAUUUGUAUCUAUUUUUUUUGUUUUUUCCCUUCUGUUGCACAGUGUGAUUUCUCUUCAUUAUUUUUUUGUUUAGGGUUGUUAAUCAGACUUCGUCGGAUGCAAGAUAUUCCUUCUCCUCAGUUGCUGCUGAUUUUUCAUUUCUUUCUUCUUCCUUCAUUUGUAAUGCAACAGCCGACUCCAGCACGCGAAUUCUUCCCUCAUGUUUCAUUAUUACCGCCUUUAAUUUACGUAUUUCUUCGGCAAAUUCUUUGAUAAUAUCAUCCUGUUCAUCGAAAACCAAGAAGAUGAAUUAAUUAAUCUCGCCUCGGUAUCAGAGGAAAUCAUUCAGUAAACGAUAAAUUACUCACCGAUAUUCCAGAAUUUUGCGAAGAAUUUUGUGCAUUAGCUCCUACUUUGGCACCUUUACCAAGUACAUUGGCCUUUUUAGUAACUUUUAGUUCAUUUUUGGAGGUAGCAGGUUGAUAACCAUCUCUCAGAGAUAUUAGCAGAGGUUCAGCAUCUGUACCAUUUAGCCACUCUUCCGCUGAUAUUGCAGCUGUAUGACCUGGGGUAUCGGGAUAGAGAUCCUCUUGGAAGAGCUCAGACUGUAAUUUUUAAUCAUCGAAAUUUUAUUAUUCAAGGUUGUGGAUCGCGACAUUGAUUGCGCGACAUGAGUACGAGAUUCCCGAUAAUAUUAUUCUCUAAUCUCUCGAUUAAGAUGCCAUAUCCCUUCCCCAUUCCCUGCAAUGACGUCAGGUCUCUCGAGAUUUUUCUUCCUCGAAGAGUUACUAAUAGAAUUACAAGUGUCUUCCAAUUAACUGAAAAUUCCAAGAUAUUGUACACUUUGGCCGACUGUUCUCACAGAUAAGAAUUGAACAGCUCCACGUGCUUGCUCAGCACCAGCGUGGAGUUGAAAGGGGAAAUAAGGUUAUGUCUUACGAGCGGGAGUGGUGAGGGACAAGUAGCGUUCUACAUGAUCGACGAGUUCACGGUGGCGCAUGAACUACGAUGGUGAAGGUGCCUGUCGUGGAUGAAUAAAAGUAAUUGACGCAGCAAAAGGGGAGCAUGGAAGAGCAUUAUGCGGCUUCGAUCGAUAAUCCAAGUGCAAUUGGUGCAAUCCGGACCCAAGUGAUCUCAGGAGAAAAUGGUGAGACACCGUUGCAGCAGGUUGAAGGGUCCAAUGUUCAAACGAAUGCAAUUCAAUAAUAUUCUUCUUUCAUCAGAGGAAAAAGUUGCAUUCCAUUCAAGCGGCCCAACCAGAGACUCCGUUUCUUCCAGUUCUACAGAAGACCGACCGACCCCCGGGUGCUACAAUAAUUUUUCUACCGCCGUGGGGUUACGACCCCUUUACAAAGGAGGGAAGUGCAAAUAAAUAAUAAUAAUGA
Diachasmimorpha longicaudata is the source of this 3332-nucleotide long non-coding RNA. RefSeq lists it as uncharacterized. The record is from RefSeq and is a predicted model, not a curated record. The transcript is spliced from 7 exons. Lineage: Eukaryota; Metazoa; Arthropoda; Insecta; Hymenoptera; Braconidae.